Salvelinus sp. IW2-2015 is the source of this 1071-nucleotide long non-coding RNA. RefSeq lists it as uncharacterized. Lineage: Eukaryota; Metazoa; Chordata; Actinopteri; Salmoniformes; Salmonidae. The record is from RefSeq and is a predicted model, not a curated record.
GCUGUGUGUGGAUGUUGUUCUGUUAUGUCGUUUUCUGCGCAGGUGCAGCUUUAUGGGAUCCAUGAAGACAAGAUGCAGCAGUGUAGGAGGUGGAGGAGGUGGAGGAAAGACAAUGGGACUAAGAACCAGAGCAGACUUCUUCUACAUGGACAAACAUAUUGCAGGAGAAGAGGAGGAUGGGGGGAGAAUAGUGGAGGGGAGUAGAGUCCUCUACAUACACAACCCKCUACACAGCAGUGUCUUAUUUCCUGGAUUACUGACCCUCUGAAUGUGGCCGUGGCUCAAAUCACAAGACUUACUUCACUCCAGAGAAUGAGUUUGCUGUUUCCUGUCUCUGGAUGGACCCUCAUCUUAUUGGCUACCGAAAAGGGGUGUGGUCGUUGUGGAGCAAACUAAUGAGAGAGAACAAUGGCAUGAAGACUUCCAGUGCUGGCUCUCCUCAGGUGAGAGGGUCCCCUAGGCCAGUCUUUUCGCCCUCCAUUGCAACCUUGCCAUCCCCCAGCCCUGCAUCAUCAGAAGGGGAUGAACCAGGACAUGGGAGUAAGGUGUCUUUCUCUGAAGAUGUCACUGUCAAUGUGUUGGAUCAGGUAACAUCUAUCAGAUAAUUGGUAUUUUACAUCGGAAUCAUGUUUUAAUACCUACAGUAUCUAAAUAAUGUCAUUUUGAACAUUCUCAAUAGGAGAGUCCCACCAGGGAGCUACAAAGUCACUGACCAGAAACCUACAACAAAGAGACCAAGGGUCAAACUCCAUAUGCAAAUGUACAGACACAGACCUGAGACCAACGAUCAAUCCCCAAGCAAUGUCAACCUUCUAACUCAAAUGUCAACCUCAGGGGUUGUCUCCUUAGAGGACAAUAUUAUGUCUCUAUCUCUCUAUCUGAUGGUGGCUGUGUUCACUCUUCUCUACAGGUGUUGGUUUAGAAUGGGAGGAUGACUUCUCCAUCUUGGACAGCACUCUCAAAACUAAGAUGGUCGACCUCCAUCUUAUUAAAUCAAUUAACAUUUUAUUUGUCGCAUGAGCCGAAUACAACAGGUGUAGACCUUACUGUGAAAUGCUUACUUACAAGCCA